This 782-nucleotide ribosomal RNA is filed under the name Agrococcus sp. C-39. RNAcentral's name for it is "bacterial SSU rRNA". It matches the Rfam family "Bacterial small subunit ribosomal RNA", at positions 8 to 801 of the family's 1533-position model. The record is from RNAcentral. Lineage: Bacteria; Bacillati; Actinomycetota; Actinomycetes; Micrococcales; Microbacteriaceae.
AGAGUUUGAUCCUGGCUCAGGACGAACGCUGGCGGCGUGCUUAACACAUGCAAGUCGAACGAUGAAGGAGGAGCUUGCUCCUCCGGAUUAGUGGCGAACGGGUGAGUAAUACGUGAGCAAUGUGCCCUUGACUCUGGGAUAAGCGCUGGAAACGGCGUCUAAUACCGGAUACGACCACCGGAGGCAUCUCCUGGUGGUGGAAAGAAUUUCGGUCAAGGAUCAGCUCACGGCCUAUCAGCUUGUUGGUGAGGUAACGGCUCACCAAGGCGACGACGGGUAGCCGGCCUGAGAGGGUGACCGGCCACACUGGGACUGAGACACGGCCCAGACUCCUACGGGAGGCAGCAGUGGGGAAUAUUGCACAAUGGGCGCAAGCCUGAUGCAGCAACGCCGCGUGAGGGACGAAGGCCUUCGGGUUGUAAACCUCUUUUAGCAGGGAAGAAGCGAAAGUGACGGUACCUGCAGAAAAAGCACCGGCUAACUACGUGCCAGCAGCCGCGGUAAUACGUAGGGUGCAAGCGUUGUCCGGAAUUAUUGGGCGUAAAGAGCUCGUAGGCGGUUUGUCACGUCUGCUGUGAAAACCCGAGGCUCAACCUCGGGCUUGCAGUGGGUACGGGCAGACUAGAGUGCGGUAGGGGAGAUUGGAAUUCCUGGUGUAGCGGUGGAAUGCGCAGAUAUCAGGAGGAACACCGAUGGCGAAGGCAGAUCUCUGGGCCGUAACUGACGCUGAGGAGCGAAAGCAUGGGGAGCAAACAGGCUUAGAUACCCUGGUAGUCCAUGCC